CAUUUACUACAUUAACAAUCCAAUGGUUUUCAAUACAAGUUCUAAACAAUAAACAUUCAAUUUCAAACCUAACAUUAAAAUCCCAACGCCAUUUCACUUACACAUUCAAAUUCUAAUUCCAUUCAUUCCAAGUGCAUCGUAAUACAACUCUAAUUCCAUUCUAAUUCCAAAUACAUUUGCAUUUGAUUUUCGUAAGACACAAAUUGCAUUACAACACUUUAUGCCAAUACAUAAACCAUAAUACAUUCAAAACAAUGCCAAUCCAUCUCAAGAGUCACAAAAAUUAAACUAGGGAGACUAAAUUCAAGUAAGUCCUAACAUGCUAAAAUAAUUUCCAAGACAUCCACCGUCUUCAUGCCAUUGUCAUUCAAAGACCAAGAGGAACCAUAUUGUAAGAUCCAUAUUCAUUCCAAAUCAUAGCAUAUAUUCAUUCAUUUCAAACCGACAUCAAACAUGACCAAAACUCACAACACUCAUUGUCACAUUCAUAGCUUAUUUCAUAGCGUUAGUCAAUUAGCAGUUUGACGAUGUAAUAAAUCAUGGUUGGAGCAAUCAAAAUAGUUAUCUUUCUGAUAUAAUUUUCAUGUAAUUUCAUUCAACCUGUCCUACAUCACAUAAAGUAGAAGUCCAACAUAAAACAUACCAUUAAAUCCACCACUCGUGAGAUGUUUAGUGGAUCUGAGAUGCUUCCAGAACCACCACCUGCUACAAACCCUACAAACUUGUGACAUAAUGAACUUCAACCUAUAAAGUUUUAUAACAGGGUAAAACAACUUCUGACCUAUACAAGUACCUUAACAGAAAACCAGUCUCAUUUUACAUGCUAACUUCGCCAUUAUAACAACCAAUGAGCAUCACCUUUAACCAAACCACAUUUAAUCACUCAAAUAACAACAGUAGGUCGAGCCCCGGACCGUUUGGACAACAAACCUUGGCAAUGCGUAAACCAACUCAAUCAAACACGGUAAACAACAACAUUAAAUGUCUUCAAGUAUCAUUACCCCUGCAGCAAAUAACCAUUUCAAUAACAUUAUGUUUUCACUUAUAAUGGUUAACAAAAAUAUUGUGCUAGCAAAAUAGAACCAACCUAACUAAUUGAACAUAUUACUUACUAAUUUAAAACAAUUAACUUUAGUUCACAAUUUCCUAACAGUAUAACAUCUUUACCAAAUUAACUCAUUACAGAAUUAUCCAAAAACUCUAACCGAAAUUGAGUUUGACCAAUUCAUAACAUCCAUAACAGAAUUCCACAACCAACUUAACUAACAUUCCCUAACUCCUCUAACUGAAAUCCAUAAUAGAAUUCCACAACCAACUUAACUAACAUUCCCAAACUCCUCUAGCUGAAAUCCAUAACAGAAUGAGAAGGAAAAGAAGUUCAGAAAUCUAUAAAAGCAUGCCUUGCUCCUUCAUUUUCAUUUUCAGUUCAAAAUCAUUCUUCUCCCAUUCUUCACUUCACCAUUCUUCAAUACUUCUUCUCUUCCCUCCAAUCUUCUUCUCUCCAGUCUUCACUCUCCUCUUCAUCUUGCAAAUACGCUUUUCAUUCUCCAUUUUCACUCCACUCUCAACAACACUUUUCACUGACUCCUGAGUCAAAACAGAAGAUGUAACAUAAUUUCGGCAUCACUGAGUUGAACCGAAAAAGAAAACCGAAAACCUUACUCAUUCUUAUUUUCCGUUCACAGAACGUGCAUCAGAACGAAGAAACGCAACAAUCAUACGUUGCCAUCUCCCUGCAAAAAGCUUGCUGAACUCUUCCUCUCAACGUCUCGAAUGCCCUCACGCUCUCCGAUUUCAUCUCCAGUACACAGGCAAGAACACAAUAGCAAGGCAUUAAAGCGAAGCAAGGAAGAGAAUAAUGAACGAUUCAAGGAAAAUCAAGCAGAAACUAAACGGAAGUGCGGUACCUGGUGAGUUUUCGAUUCGACGUUCUUCACUUUCUUCUUCUGUUCGUGUGCAUAGAAGAGUGAACUGAUUCGAUAAAUUUCUGAAUCCGUGAAUCGUGACGAUGAUGAAUAAACAUGGUGAAUGAUGAGCGAAGAGGGAAAACAAGAUGCUUCGUUAUGAAGAACAUGGAGAUUCCAAAUCGGUGAGCUUAAGGUUGAACGUGAACGAGAUACGGCGUCGAUGUUGGAUCGGAAGCGUUGCUCCAAUGCCAUAAAACGCAUUGAAGCGCCCAAAAUAAGGAAUGUGUGAGCGUGGAUGACGGAUCCUGGAUGUGAGUCGCAUGAUGUUGAUUGCGGUUCGAGCAAACUGGACUCUGCUAUUGAGAGGCGGUGGCGCCAUUGUUUGAAGUCGAGCGUGAUGGAGGAUGUGGCGGAGUGUCGUCGGCGGCCAAUGAGGGUCACUUUCUGUUUGCGAUCGACCGUCCCUUUCUUUGCUUUU
RNAcentral lists this long non-coding RNA (2385 nucleotides) under Lathyrus oleraceus (garden pea). RNAcentral's name for it is "Pisum sativum (pea) long non-coding RNA (PSAT_LNC042247)". The record is from RNAcentral. Lineage: Eukaryota; Viridiplantae; Streptophyta; Magnoliopsida; Fabales; Fabaceae.